AUUGAACGCUGGCGGCAUGCUUUACACAUGCAAGUCGAACGGUAACAGGCCGCAAGGUGCUGACGAGUGGCGCACGGGUGAGUAAUGCAUCGGAACGUGCCCAGUCGUGGGGAUAACUACUCGAAAGAGUAGCUAAUACCGCAUACGAUCUAUGGAUGAAAGCGGGGGACCGUAAGGCCUCGCGCGAUUGGAGCGGCCGAUGUCAGAUUAGGUAGUUGGUGGGGUAAAGGCUCACCAAGCCAACGAUCUGUAGCUGGUCUGAGAGGACGACCAGCCACACUGGGACUGAGACACGGCCCAGACUCCUACGGGAGGCAGCAGUGGGGAAUUUUGGACAAUGGGCGCAAGCCUGAUCCAGCAAUGCCGCGUGCAGGAAGAAGGCCUUCGGGUUGUAAACUGCUUUUGUACGGAACGAAACGGCUCUGGUUAAUACCCGGGGCUAAUGACGGUACCGUAAGAAUAAGCACCGGCUAACUACGU
RNAcentral lists this ribosomal RNA (480 nucleotides) under uncultured bacterium. RNAcentral's name for it is "partial 16S ribosomal RNA". It matches the Rfam family "Bacterial small subunit ribosomal RNA", at positions 30 to 506 of the family's 1533-position model. The record is from RNAcentral.